This 340-nucleotide long non-coding RNA is filed under the name Pan troglodytes (chimpanzee). RNAcentral describes it as "lincRNA". Lineage: Eukaryota; Metazoa; Chordata; Mammalia; Primates; Hominidae. The record is from RNAcentral.
ACGCCCCAGGGGGAGGCCUGGUGACCUUGAGGGAAGUAGGGCCCUGUCCUUGACCACUUAUCAGGGCCUGUCCCUCAUUCACCCGACCCAACUUUGCUGGGGGGGUGUGAGGUGGGGUAAUUUAUUCAGUUCUAACCAGGCAAGAACCUGCCUGUCCUGCACCCUGGCCUGUCCUCUGGAGGUUAUCUGAUGAGGGCCUAUUCUGAGGGAAGCCCUCCCUGACUGCAGGUGCCUCCUUUGACUCCUCCAUCCCGGUGCUGGAUCUGGCAUGACCUCUGAAGUGCCCGGUGUCCAGCCUGGCAGAGUGGACGACGAGAAACAGCAGGGGGCCCAGGCCCCA